Molecule: ribosomal RNA, 450 nt
Filed under: uncultured bacterium
Lineage: Bacteria
Description: partial 16S ribosomal RNA
Rfam family: Bacterial small subunit ribosomal RNA
Source: RNAcentral
GUGGGGAAUCUUCCGCAAUGGACGAAAGUCUGACGGAGCAACGCCGCGUGAGUGAUGAAGGUCUUCGGAUUGUAAAGCUCUGUUAAUCGGGACGAAAGAGCCUAGUGUGAAUAAUGCUAGGAAGUGACGGUACCGGAAUAGAAAGCCACGGCUAACUACGUGCCAGCAGCCGCGGUAAUACGUAGGUGGCAAGCGUUGUCCGGAAUUAUUGGGCGUAAAGCGCGCGUAGGCGGAUCUGCCAGUCUGUCUUAAAAGUUCGGGGCUUAACCCCGUGAUGGGAUGGAAACUACAGAUCUAGAGUAUCGGAGAGGAAAGUGGAAUUCCUAGUGUAGCGGUGAAAUGCGUAGAUAUUAGGAAGAACACCAGUGGCGAAGGCGACUUUCUGGACGAAAACUGACGCUGAGGCGCGAAAGCCAGGGGAGCGAACGGGAUUAGAUACCCUGGUAGUCC